RNAcentral lists this ribosomal RNA (439 nucleotides) under uncultured bacterium. Its description in RNAcentral is "partial 16S ribosomal RNA". It matches the Rfam family "Bacterial small subunit ribosomal RNA", at positions 339 to 795 of the family's 1533-position model. The record is from RNAcentral.
CUACGGGGGGUUCCAGUGAGGAAUAUUGCACAAUGGGGGGAACCCUGAUGCAGCAACGCCGCGUGGAGGAUGACGCAUUUCGGUGUGUAAACUCCUUUUAUAUGUCAAGAAAAUGACGGUAGCAUAUGAAUAAGCACCGGCUAACUCCGUGCCAGCAGCCGCGGUAAUACGGAGGGUGCAAGCGUUACUCGGAAUCACUGGGCGUAAAGGACGCGUAGGCGGGUUGGAAAGUCAGGUGUGAAAUCCUACAGCUUAACUGUAGAACUGCACUUGAAACUUCUAAUCUAGAGUAUGGGAGGGGGAGAUGGAAUUAGUGGUGUAGGGGUAAAAUCCGUAGAUAUCACUAGGAAUACCUAAAGCGAAGGCGAUCUCCUGGAACAUUACUGACGCUAAGGCGUGAAGGCGUGGGGAGCAAACAGGAUUAGAUACCCCAGUAGUC